RNAcentral lists this ribosomal RNA (459 nucleotides) under uncultured Rikenellaceae bacterium. RNAcentral describes it as "bacterial SSU rRNA". It matches the Rfam family "Bacterial small subunit ribosomal RNA", at positions 923 to 1382 of the family's 1533-position model. Lineage: Bacteria; Pseudomonadati; Bacteroidota; Bacteroidia; Bacteroidales; Rikenellaceae. The record is from RNAcentral.
GCACAAGCGGAGGAACAUGUGGUUUAAUUCGAUGAUACGCGAGGAACCUUACCUGGGCUAGAACGCAUUCGGAAUCAGGCCGAAAGGCCUGCGCCAGCGAUGGCCGCUUGCGAGGUGCUGCAUGGUUGUCGUCAGCUCGUGCCGUGAGGUGUCGGGUUAAGUCCCAUAACGAGCGCAACCCCUACUGCUAGUUGCCAGCGGGUCAUGCCGGGGACUCUAGCGGAACUGCCAGCGUAAGCUGCGAGGAAGGUGGGGAUGACGUCAAAUCAGCACGGCCCUUACGUCCAGGGCUACACACGUGUUACAAUGGCCGGUACAGAGGGCAGCCACCCCGCGAGGGGGCGCGAAUCCCGAAAGCCGGUCCCAGUUCGGAUCGGAGUCUGCAACCCGACUCCGUGAAGCUGGAUUCGCUAGUAAUCGCGCAUCAGCCACGGCGCGGUGAAUACGUUCCCGGGCCUU